This 260-nucleotide ribosomal RNA is filed under the name uncultured bacterium. RNAcentral describes it as "partial 16S ribosomal RNA". It matches the Rfam family "Bacterial small subunit ribosomal RNA", at positions 524 to 778 of the family's 1533-position model. The record is from RNAcentral.
UACGAAGGGGGCUAGCGUUGCUCGGAAUCACUGGGCGUAAAGGGCGCGUAGGCGGUCGUGACAAGUCACUUGUGAAAUCUCCGGGCUUAACUCGGAACGGUCAAGUGAUACUGUCGGACUAGAGUACAGAAGGGGCAACUGGAAUUCUCGGUGUAGCGGUGAAAUGCGUAGAUAUCGAGAGGAACACCUGCGGCGAAGGCGGGGUUGCUGGGCUGAUACUGACGCUGAGGCGCGAAAAGCCCAGGGGGAGCGAAACGGGG